RNAcentral lists this ribosomal RNA (1371 nucleotides) under human gut metagenome. Its description in RNAcentral is "bacterial LSU rRNA". It matches the Rfam family "Bacterial large subunit ribosomal RNA", at positions 1464 to 2814 of the family's 2925-position model. The record is from RNAcentral.
CAGGGGUGACACGGAAUGGGAGCCGGCCGCGGAGGUGGUUUUCCGUGGUCAAGCACGCAGCCAGUCAUGUAGGCAAAUCCGCAUGGCGUGCAUGGCGAGGUGUGAUGAUGGGAGCCGUUAUGGUUCGAUAUCCGGUUGUCCAGGCCGUCGAGAAAAGCCUCGGCGUGAGGGCCAUGGCCGCCCGUACCCCAAACCGACACUGGUGGUCAGGUAGAGAAUACCAAGGCGAUCGAGCGAAUCCUGGUCAAGGAACUCGGCAAAUCACUCCCGUGCCUUCGGUAUAAGGGAGACCCACUGGGGUGAAGGACCUUGCGUCCGGAGCUUUGGUGGGUGGCACAGACCAGGGGGUAGCGACUGUUUACCAAAAACACAGGUGCAUGCGAAGGCGAAAGCCGCUGUAUAUGCACUGACGCCUGCCCGGUGCCGGAAGGUUAAGAGGAUCCGUCAGCCUUCGGGUGAAGCGGUGAAUUCAAGCCCCGGUAAACGGCGGUGGUAACUAUAACCAUCCUAAGGUAGCGAAAUUCCUUGUCGGGUAAGUUCCGACCUGCACGAAUGGCGUAACGACUUCCCCACUGUCUCGACCAGGAGCUCGGCGAAAUUGCAGUACGAGUAAAGAUGCUCGUUAAGCGCAGAAGGACGAAAAGACCCCGGGACCUUUACUAUACCUUGGUAUUGGCGUUAGGCGCGGAUUGUGUAGCAUAGGCGGGAGGCUUCGAAGCGGGUGCGCCAGCAUUCGUGGAGCCGCAAGGUGAAAUACCGCUCUGUUCUCGUUUGACGUCUAACCUCGACAAGUCAUCCUUGUCAGGGACAGUGCCUGGCGGGUAGUUCAACUGGGGCGGUUGCCUCCCAAAGAGUAACGGAGGCGCUCAAAGGUCCGCUCAGCCCGGUUGGCAAUCGGGUGUCGAGUGUAAUCGCACAAGCGGGCUUGACUGCGAGGACGACGGUCCGAGCAGGGACGAAAGUCGGAGAUAGUGAUCCGGUGCCGGCGCACGGGCGCGGCAUCGCUCAACGGAUAAAAGGUACCCCGGGGAUAACAGGCUGAUCAUUCCCAAGAGUCCAUAUCGACGGGAUGGUUUGGCACCUCGAUGUCGGCUCGUCGCAUCCUGGGGCUGGAGCAGGUCCCAAGGGUUCGGCUGUUCGCCGAUUAAAGCGGCACGCGAGCUGGGUUCAGAACGUCGUGAGACAGUUUGGUCUCUAUCCUCUGCGCUCGUUGGAAUCCUGAGGAGGCCUGCCCAUAGUACGAGAGGACCUGGGUGGACGAACCUCUGGUAUGCCGGUUGUCGCGCCAGCGGCACGGCCGGUUGGCUACGUUCGGGAGGGAUAACCGCUGAAAGCAUCUAAGCGGGAAGCCUGCUCCAAGAUUAGGAUUCC